AGUGAACGCUGGCGGUAGGCCUAACACAUGCAAGUCGAACGGCAGCACAGUAAGAGCUUGCUCUUACGGGUGGCGAGUGGCGGACGGGUGAGGAAUACAUCGGAAUCUACUUUUUCGUGGGGGAUAACGUAGGGAAACUUACGCUAAUACCGCAUACGACCUACGGGUGAAAGCAGGGGAUCUUCGGACCUUGCGCGAUUGAAUGAGCCGAUGUCGGAUUAGCUAGUUGGCGGGGUAAAGGCCCACCAAGGCGACGAUCCGUAGCUGGUCUGAGAGGAUGAUCAGCCACACUGGAACUGAGACACGGUCCAGACUCCUACGGGAGGCAGCAGUGGGGAAUAUUGGACAAAGGGCGCAAGCCUGAUCCAGCCAUACCGCGUGGGUGAAGAAGGCCUUCGGGUUGUAAAGCCCUUUUGUUGGGAAAGAAAAGCAGCAGGUUAAUACCCCGCUGUUCUGACGGUACCCAAAGAAUAAGCACUGGCUAACUUCGUG
Molecule: ribosomal RNA, 492 nt
Filed under: uncultured bacterium
Lineage: Bacteria
Description: partial 16S ribosomal RNA
Rfam family: Bacterial small subunit ribosomal RNA
Source: RNAcentral